Molecule: long non-coding RNA, 6057 nt
Organism: Mercenaria mercenaria
Lineage: Eukaryota; Metazoa; Mollusca; Bivalvia; Venerida; Veneridae
Exons: 3
Source: RefSeq, a predicted model, not a curated record
GGCUAUUUUCCAUAGGGCAAACGAACCACUGUGGCCAUAGUCGACCUAACCCUAACCUCUAGUCAGUAUAUUAGAGUCAUAAUUUUAGUGGUGCAAAGCCUGGACUAAUGGCCGACAAAACUAUAGAAAGUAGUGUUUCCCAAAUUAUGGCGGAGAGCUAUCUUUGCCACGAGUUUUCAGUGUCAUUGUCGUGCUAUAUAAAUGGUUUAUCGUUAGGAAUCAUAAUAAAUGAUUGCAGAAGACGAACUUUGUGUAUAUUUAUCAGAUUCAGGUUGCAUUGAUCUUAAUUCGUACUCGAAACCUGUUAUUUUUGGUAAUCAUCAUCCGGAUCAUUUACGUGAAUUGAAAGUUAAACACACUCCGUACCAUAAGGUGUGCUAUUCUGGAUACACAUUCAGGGACUACGGGAAAAUAUGAGCGACAGAUCUCUGGAGAAAAUUUGUUGACAGUUAUUUCAGCAAUCGAAGUUAUAUUUUCCACAGGCACAGGCAUUUCCCCAAACGGUAGGAGAAUUUUGAUAGAGAUUCUGCAUAUGACAGACUACAAUAUGUAAGGAGCAGUAGCGGAGUUAUCAACCAUUGUAUUGUAGUGUCUGUAGGACAACUACACAAGGACUUUUUCAACAAUAAAAACUGUCCACACUCAGCAAAAUGACUUGAACAUAAAAGGCUAAGCAUGUAUAUGCCGAUACGUCAUUCAACAUGUUCCACUCAAAGGAAAUGCUGCCUUUGCCCAACAAUAAUGAGAGUAUAGCUGAAAGUACUGUAUUACUACACUUGUGUAAGAAUGAGUAAUUUUAGAAACAAAAUGUAGAGUCAGCUUCAAUUUCGAACAAAAAAACUUCGAGAAAGAAUUGUAACACAGAUAAAGUGGCAUGAACAAAGUCGAACCCUUUGUGGCAAUGGAGGAAAUGAGACUGUCGGGAAAGUUUACCAGACAUAAAUUCUUGUCAGGUCAACUAAUCAGCUCCUACUUCUCUCGUUUUCAUCAACUCGAAAAGACAACAGAUGUUGAAGAUUAUGACUCGGAUGUUAAAGAAGAUGGAAAGAAAGCUAUCCGGUCAAAAAGUUCUUUCAAGUCUAAAUUGACAGCAGCCACUAAAGACAAAAUAUGACUACUUCCAUGGCCGACAAUUUAAAGUUAUCAGAAGACUUAAGAAAUAAUUUAUAGCAAAACCGUUUCUUACUUUGUUUUUUCACAAUGGGAGUUUUAGGUCAAGCAAGAGUAGUUAUUUCAUAUUACGUUUAACAGUCAGAUUGUAUAGUGUUUAAACAUGUCUUGCUAGAAAUUAUUGCUAUUCUGAUAUAUCUGGUAUGUAAAAGUUAUAUCAAACAUGACGGAACCGUUUAUUUUGCACAUGUAUGGCACCAAAUGUUAGGUCGUCACAUUCUUUGUCGGUACCAGAAAUGGUAUGCUUGCACAUUGAACUGGCGUUUCCAAUGUUGGCAAAACCCAUCUGAUAUUCCCCAUGCCAGAUGAAUUUCAUGCUGUUAAUGACAACUAGAGAUUCAUGCACAUAUCGUUUAUGUAAAAUUCGAAAAAGUCAGAUAUAUUGAUAGUUUCUCUACGUUCCUUGUAGUAUAUUUCUUGAUUCAAAAGAUGUUUCUUUAUGGUGAUAACACAACGUUACACUACAAAUGAUAAAGCUAAAAUGGAACUUUAUUAUUGUGCAUCCCUGAAAGGUCAUGACAUCACUUCUGCUUACAGACAUCUAUUUCUCGCACUUUACAAACUCUAAGAAAGAGUGCUACAAAGAAAGUAUUUCUAUUUGCUUUAUCUAUUUUUUCAUUUGUAAAAUACUGUGUGCAUGGAAACUAGUCUGUCAGAAUAUAAAACUUUAUGUAUAAGACAAGCAAGAAAAACCUCCAGUCAUGUGUUUAAAAUUCAGAUAGAAAUAUCCGUCCCUCGGCUACCUGAGCAUGGGUGCAUGGCAUUGAUGAUUGUAGAGUUGCCGCCCAAUGUGCAGGUGCCCUCGGGAUGGAUAUUUCUAUCUUAUUCGUAUAACAAAUGACAUAUAUUAUUAAUACAUCUUGCAGAAUAGUUCCAUUAAGGCGCAAAUGAAAGAGAAAGCGUACAGCAAAUAACUAGCUCAGGGUAUGUGUAAAUUAAUCAAGAAAAUUGUGUUUUGUGAUAUUUGUUUAAAAACAUGUUUUCUAAGUAAAAUAUUUUAUCAAAUUUGAAGCGCUGGUUCUUGAUAAAUACAUGGUGCUCCAUUGAAGUGACAUCAGCAUUAACAUAGAAACAUUAUGAAGGGGUUAUACCCAAGCAGAAUAAUUUCACAAGGGCCUAAGCGAAUAACACUGCAUAUAACAGUUUAGUUUUAUUAGCUCACCUGUCACGUAGUGACGGGGUGAGCUUUUGUGAUUGCCCUUUGUUCGUCCACAAUUUCUUGUCUGCACGAUAUUGGUUUCAUUUAUGAUUUUAUUUUAACCAAACUUGCACACAACUUGUAUCACAAUAAGAUCUUGGUUCCUUUCUGGAACUGACCAGAUCUUAUUAUGGGUUCCAGGGUUAUGGCCCCUGAAAGGGCCAAAAUUAGCUAUCUUGACCUUGUCUGCGCAAGAGCAGCUUCAUUUAUGAUUUGAUUUUUUAACCAAACUUGCACACAACUUUUAUCACCGCAAGAUCUUGAUUCUUUUAUUGAACUGGCCAGAAUCCAAUAUGGGUUCCAGAGUUAUGGCCCCUGAUAGGGCCAGAAUCAGCUAUUUUGACCUUGUCUGCACAAUAGCAGCUUCAUUUAUGAUUUGAAUUUAAACAAACUUGCAUAAAACUUGUGUCACCAUAUUAAGAUCUUGGUUCCUUUCUUGAACCGGCCAGAUCCCAUUUUGGGUUCCAGAGUUAUGAUCCCUGCAAGGGCCAAAAUUAGCUAUUUUGACUUUGUCUGCACAAUAGCAGCUUCAUUUAUGAUCUGAUUUUAACCAAAUUUGCACACAGCUUGUAUCACCAUAAGAUUUCAGUUCUUUCUUAUACGCCCUAAGAGACAUAUUAUGUUACCGCCUCGGUGUCUGGUCUGAAUGUCUGUCUGUCUGUUGGUUAGCGAUUUCAUUUCCACGCUGUAACUCUUGAACCAUUUGAAGGAUUUCAAAGAAACCUAAACAAAUGUUCACCUCAUGGAAAAGAUGUGCACAGCGCAUGUUUCAGAUGGCUCACUUCAAGGUCAAGGUCACACUUAGGGGUCAAAGGUCAUAUGACUUUGUUUUGUGUGUAUAUUGCUCUGCAUUUGCGUUGCAAUGCAUUGCUCUUGUUUUUUAGCUCGACUAUUCGAAGAAUAAGUAGAGCUAUCCUACUCACCACUGCAUUGGCGUCGGCAUCACACCUUGGUUAAGUUUUUCGUACCAGUCCAUUUCUUGACAAAUUCUUUUGAGAUAAAGCUUGGAAACUUUCAACAAUUGUUUACCAUCACCAUAGCCUGUUAUAGGCAAGAGCACAUAACUCUAUCAAGGAUUUUGGCUGAAUGAUGGCCCCGUUUGACUUAGAAAUCAUGGUUAAGUUUUUAGUACCAGUUCUUAUUUUGGCAGAGUCUUUUGAGAUAAAGCUUUGAAACUUUUAACACUUGUUUAGCAUCACCGUAUCUAGUUAUAGGCAAAUGUACAUAACUCCAUCGAGGAUUUUGGCUGAAUUAUGGCCCUUUUUGACUUUGAAAUCUUGGUUAAGUUUUUCGUACCAGUUCAUAUUUUAUGAAAACUUAUUGUAAAAAUAAAUAAUAAUAAUAUAAAACAAGAGGGCCAUGAUGGCACUAAGUUGCGCUCACUAGAGUAACACAACAUAGUUAUCCAGCUUUUGAAACCACAUGACCCAGUUACAAACUCGUCAGAGUUUUCAAGGAGAUAAACAUUCUGACCAAGUUCCCGGAAGAUUGGAGCAAAAAUGUGUUUUUCUUCGAUUUGGUCUAGAAACCUAGUUUUUUACCCAACCGGAGCUAAUUUUUAACAGCUUCAGCUUCCUCAGAUGUGCCCAAUUUUACUAUCCAGCAGUCGAGCGCAAGUUUUUUUUUUUUGUCUUCUGUGACAGCUUUUGUUAUCUAAGUCUUCAAAAUUUCCAGGGAAGCCUUUAAGUGGUUAAAAAUUUCAAACUAUUGACUUUCUAAAUGUCUGACGAUCCCUUGAACUAUAUUCCAGAAACUGGGCUGUGAAGUAAGAUUUUUCUGAAAGAUUAUUAAUUUCACUUACCAAAAAGUCGACCAAUCAUUUAUAGAGAAAUAUCUUUAAAAAUAUGGACCUGGAAGCAAUGCACAUGUCAAAAUGUUCAUAAACACCUUUGAAAUGGCUUAUUGUCACAGGGGCAAAAGUUGUUCUAAAUUACAUUUCGGCAUUUUCUGGUCGACGUUCUCACAAUCGAUCCAGUGUUAGCAGAGUACAAACAAGUAGUUCCAUGCCAUGCAUUUAGUCAGACAUCAAAGUAUAGUUACUUUGGCACGACGGUAUCUUCAGCUGUCGAACAUCAUAAAAUGCAAAAUUUUAACGUGUAAUUCAAUCAGUAAGAUAAACACUGCUGUUGUUUUUUCUAACUGCAGUAACAUAUUAGUAUACAAAAAAGUAGGACACCUGACAAACCGACAAACCUAUACAGGUAAGGGAAGUAACCCUGUUAGAGUAGAUAUAUAUGACUGACAAUGUGACAUUGUUACACCGCCCCUUACUGUAAGGUAGAAUCCUAACUGCAAAGGUGCGUCUUCGUAUGCCAGCAAAUAAGAAGGGUAUAAAUAGCCUACCACUAUGCAUUUAUCAGGCCGAUAUCUGCCUGCCGUGUAAACUUGAGCUUUCUAGAAAAAAAAACAAAAAAACAAAAACAAAAAAAAAACAAUAAUCCAGAGUUUUAAAUAAUGUUAACAUCCUGUUGAUUGAACCUUCUAGAAAAGCAUUGAAUAUAAUAUAUAACUUAAUAAUAGGGCUGUCAUUGAUUGGGUCUUUGGCAUAUCGACGAUACCGAUAUAUCGGAAGACAAAUAUCGACGAUACAUCGAUAUAUCGAUUAUUAAGUUAGAUUAAAAGCCUGUUUGUUCAUGGGCAUGCUAUAUACCUUCUUGUUAAUGUUAUGUUUAGUUUUAUUGCCUACUUUUUAUAUUACUGUUUGAUUGUGUUGUAUUUGUAUCUGUGAAAUAAAUAAAAUAAAUGAAAAUUAAUGAAAUCUUUUAUAGAUCUUCAUUGUGCCUUCACUCCUCUUUUGCAUUUAUCCUACUUUACAACCUAGUGAACUAUAAUACCAGGCACUGGAGUCGGGUUUCAAACAGCUAAAAUUCUGCAUUUCUCUUCCACAGAUAUCUAUUUAUUUAUUAAAUUAAUUAAUUUAUUUAUUUACCAUGUUUUUAUUUAUUUUUAGCCUGUUUCAUACCCUGUCUAAUUUUUACCUUGCACUUACAUUCGGUACUGGCAUCGCGUGUUUUUGUUUUUUGUUUUUUUUUUUUUUUUUGGUUUUCUUUUUUAACUUUUGCCCAAGUUUUCGAUGGGCCUCAAAUGUGUAGUGUUUGACUGUUUGUUUGUUGUACUGAAAGGCAUGUUUAAGCAACACCCUGUGUUUCUACGAACUCAAACAAAGCUUUUCUUUCCGUCUUUCGACUCUUUUUCCACUAUUUAAGCCAGCGACGGCUUCCUCUUCGGCCAUUUUUGAUUGUUAUUGUUACGGACACUAGCUAAAUUCUGUACCUUUUUACUGAGUGAUCAGCUAUACGCGAACAAGUAAAAAGCCGAGAUUGACGUAGAAACAGUAUAUACACUAUGUUUUUACAUGCACAAACAACGAAGCGACCUUUCAAGACAGGACAACGUAACUUUUUGCAAAUAGAUUCUGAAGUUGAGCCCUUUUUACUUCUACCCAUAUAGGUAGUGCCGGCUAGUGGGAAAAGACUGCUACGGUACAAGUUUAGACAUGACCUUUUUUGACAACUUCCGUUACUUACGGCACAUUUUUGCAGGCAGAAAAAGUUGUUUUAGAGGGUCUGAGUGUUUAUCUAGACAGUUGUUUUUUCUCUCUGUAAAAUAUCGAUUUUUGAAAAUGGGAAUCGAUAAUCGAUCGACCAAAAAAUAUCGUUGAUACAUCGAUAUCGUUUCUAUCGAUGACA